RNAcentral lists this ribosomal RNA (252 nucleotides) under uncultured bacterium. RNAcentral describes it as "partial 16S ribosomal RNA". It matches the Rfam family "Bacterial small subunit ribosomal RNA", at positions 524 to 776 of the family's 1533-position model. The record is from RNAcentral.
UACGUAGGGGCAAGCGUUGUCCGGAUUUAUUGGGCGUAAAGAGCGUGUAGGCGGUUUGGUAGGUCCGUUGUGAAAACUCGAGGCUCAACCUCGAGACGCCGAUGGAACCAUCAGACUAGAGUCCGGAAGAGGAGAGUGGAAUUCCGUGGUGUAGCGGUGAAAUGCGCAGAUAUCAGGAAGAACACCCGUGGCUAAGGCGGCUCUCUAGUACGGUACUGACGCUGAGACGCGAAAGCGUGGGGAGCAAACAGG